GUGGGGAAUCUUGCGCAAUGGGCGAAAGCCUGAUCCAGCAAUGCCGCGUGAGUGAUGAAGGCCCUAGGGUUGUAAAGCUCUUUUACCCGGGAUGAUAAUGACAGUACCGGGAGAAUAAGCUCCGGCUAACUUCGUGCCAGCAGCCGCGGUAAUACGAGGGGAGCUAGCGUUGUUCGGAAUUACUGGGCGUAAAGCGCGCGUAGGCGGUUUUUUAAGUCAGAGGUGAAAGCCCGGGGCUCAACCCCGGAAUUGCCUUUGAAACUGGAAAACUAGAAUCUUGGAGAGGUCAGUGGAAUUCCGAGUGUAGAGGUGAAAUUCGUAGAUAUUCGGAAGAACACCAGUGGCGAAGGCGACUGACUGGACAAGUAUUGACGCUGAGGUGCGAAAGCGUGGGGAGCAAACAGGAUUAGAUACCCGGGUAGUCC
Molecule: ribosomal RNA, 425 nt
Filed under: uncultured bacterium
Lineage: Bacteria
Description: partial 16S ribosomal RNA
Rfam family: Bacterial small subunit ribosomal RNA
Source: RNAcentral